Molecule: transfer RNA, 69 nt
Filed under: Cyclocheilichthys heteronema
Lineage: Eukaryota; Metazoa; Chordata; Actinopteri; Cypriniformes; Cyprinidae
Description: tRNA-Met
Rfam family: tRNA
About the family: Transfer RNA (tRNA) molecules are approximately 80 nucleotides in length. Their secondary structure includes four short double-helical elements and three loops (D, anti-codon, and T loops). Further hydrogen bonds mediate the characteristic L-shaped molecular structure. tRNAs have two regions of fundamental functional importance: the anti-codon, which is responsible for specific mRNA codon recognition, and the 3' end, to which the tRNAs corresponding amino acid is attached (by aminoacyl-tRNA synthetases). tRNAs cope with the degeneracy of the genetic code in two manners: having more than one tRNA (with a specific anti-codon) for a particular amino acid; and 'wobble' base-pairing, i.e. permitting non-standard base-pairing at the 3rd anti-codon position.
Source: RNAcentral
GAUGAGAUCAGCUAACAAAGCUUUUGGGCCCAUACCCCAAACAUGAUGGUUAAAAUCCUUCUCACAUCA